This 256-nucleotide ribosomal RNA is filed under the name uncultured bacterium. Its description in RNAcentral is "partial 16S ribosomal RNA". It matches the Rfam family "Bacterial small subunit ribosomal RNA", at positions 524 to 776 of the family's 1533-position model. The record is from RNAcentral.
UACGUAGGGUGCAAGCGUUGUCCGGAAUUAUUGGGCGUAAAGAGCUCGUAGGCGGUCUGUCGCGUCUGCUGUGAAAACUCAGGGCUUAACCCUGAGCUUGCAGUGGGUACGGGCAGACUAGAGUGCGGUAGGGGAGACUGGAAUUCCUGGUGUAGCGGUGAAAUGCGCAGAUAUCAGGAGGAACACCGGUGGCGAAGGCGGGUCUCUGGGCCGUAACUGACGCUGGAGGAAGCGGAAAGCAUGGGGAGCGAACAGG